This 275-nucleotide ribosomal RNA is filed under the name uncultured prokaryote. RNAcentral describes it as "partial 16S ribosomal RNA". It matches the Rfam family "Bacterial small subunit ribosomal RNA", at positions 524 to 798 of the family's 1533-position model. The record is from RNAcentral.
UACGUAGGUGGCAAGCGUUAUCCGGAUUUACUGGGUGUAAAGGGCGUGUAGGCGGGUCUGCAAGUCGGGUGUGAAAUAUCCGGGCUUAACUCGGACAGGUCAUCCGAAACUGCAGAUCUUGAGUACUGGAGAGGAUAGUGGAAUUCCUAGUGUAGCGGUAAAAUGCGUAGAUAUUAGGAGGAACACCAGUGGCGAAGGCGGCUAUCUGGACAGUAACUGACGCUGAGGCGCGAAAGCGUGGGGAGCAAACAGGAUUAGAUACCCGGGUAGUCCCU